Molecule: ribosomal RNA, 623 nt
Filed under: uncultured haloarchaeon
Lineage: Archaea; Methanobacteriati; Methanobacteriota; Halobacteria; Halobacteriales; Halobacteriaceae
Description: bacterial SSU rRNA
Rfam family: Archaeal small subunit ribosomal RNA
Source: RNAcentral
UACGUGCCUCCGGCUCCAGAUCGUUGUCUGCCGCCUCCAUUUCUUGUGUCCCCCCCAAUUUUUGUGCUCCCCCCGACAAGUUGCACGGCCUUACGGGUGCAGCAGGCGCGAAACCUUUACACUGCACGCCAGUGCGAUAAGGGGAUCCCAAGUGCGUAGGCAUAGAGCCUACGCUUUGUCCACCCUAGGGUGGUGGACGAAUAAGGGCUGGGCAAGACCGGUGCCAGCCGCCGCGGUAAUACCGGCAGCCCAAGUGAUGGCCGAUCUUAUUGGGCCUAAAGCGUCCGUAGCUGGCCGCACAAGUCCAUCGGGAAAUCCACCUGCUCAACAGGUGGCCGUCCGGUGGAAACUGUGUGGCUUGGGACCGGAAGGCGCGACGGGUACGUCCGGGGUAGGAGUGAAAUCCUGUAAUCCUGGACGGACCGCCGAUGGCGAAAGCACGUCGCGAAAACGGAUCCGACAGUGAGGGACGAAAGCUAGGGUCUCGAACCGGAUUAGAUACCCGGGUAGUCCUAGCCGUAAACACUGCCUGCUAGGUGUGGCUCCCACUACGAGUGGGUGGUGUGCCGUAGGGAAGCCGCUAAACAGGCCGCCCGGGAUGGAACAGGGCAUAGCCCGACCUC